This 2250-nucleotide long non-coding RNA is filed under the name Triticum aestivum (bread wheat). Its description in RNAcentral is "long non-coding RNA (TAES_LNC001589)". Lineage: Eukaryota; Viridiplantae; Streptophyta; Magnoliopsida; Poales; Poaceae. The record is from RNAcentral.
UGUUGGUGUUCAAAUGUACUCUACUUAGACAGAUAGAUAGGUAGGUAGGUAGAUAGAUAGAUAGAUAGAUAGAUAGGUAGGUAGGUAGGUAGGUAGGUAGGUACAUAGGUAGAUAGAUAGAUAGAUAGAUAGAUAGAUAGAUAGAUAGAUAGAUAGUUUGCUUUGCCGCUCUGCUCUGGUUGAACUAUUGUUCACUUGCAAUUUGCCACUUUGCUCUAGAUAGAGAUGGAGAGUGAGUGUUACAGUACAUCACAUGGUACAUACUGAAGCGAUACAUAAUUUGGUUGAUUUGGUUAGUGCUCAUGGUUGUUGGUGUCUGAGUGUAGUUCGAUGGCUGCCUACCUAGUUUGUUUGUCUUGUCACUCUGCUUCCUCUGGAUGAAUUGAAUUAAUGUCAACUUGCAGCUUGCACAUACAUCAUUUUAUGAACCUUGUACCUCUGCGUAUGUACCAAGUUAUCAACCCAAACCCUUUGCCUCUGCAACAUGCACAUCCACAAUCACAAAAGACCACACAUCCACAACAUACUCUACUUUACCCAGGAUACCUGCUGCAAACAAAUCACAUGCCUGCAGCACCAAACCAUACUCAGUCAGGAUGGAGAUAGAUAUCCGACAAUACCAACAAGCAUGUCAUGCAUUGUUCAAGCUUGAUUAUCCACCCAAGUCUAGCUCGCAGAUCAUCCAAGAUUAUGCUAGGUUGGUUGGUUCAACAACACCGAGGAGAAAAAUAGAAAUAGGAAGAAUAGGGGAAGAAUGAGGGAAUAGGUUCUAUUUUUGUUCCGUCUUUUUUCUCUUCCCGAUCUAAACAUGUUGAAGGCUCUGUUUUGUGCAAGUUGCUCUCAUGAGGAGAAGUUGCUGCUACAUGAUUCCCUCCUUCCCUCCUCCAACCCCCUGACAUGGUGAGCUCCACCCCUCCUUCUACUCCAUGCAGAUCUAAUAUGAAGUGGGCAUCAAUUGCAAUUGUUAUGGCCACAACAUAGCAGCAUUGUAUUGGUUCAGUUUUUAUGCAUAAUUCGAUUAUGACUGUGUUGUUUGAUGUUGCUUGCCUCAUCUAUUUUUCAUGUCUUGUGUGAAAUUUGUACCAUACUAGAAGAUGCCACCAUCAAGUUAAUAAUAACACUAAUGAUCAUUUGAUUCUAGUCUAGAGAUACAAAUAACAUUAGUUAGGUCCAUGGAUGGAUGGAUGGAUGGAUGAACACACACAGCUAGCAGCCUAGCAGUGUUAGCAAAGGAUGUUAGUACAAUGUUUAUGGCAUUCAUUUAUUGAAGCAAAUAGUAACUAACUGUCAUGGGAUUUUUAUUGUGGAGCUCCAUGAACUUUUUAGGUCGAUUGGUUGUCCAAGUUCCUGAAGAACAAAUCAUACAGCCAUUAUCUUGUUGAUUGAUGCGGUUUAUCACCUUUUUGCUGCUGAUGUUUAGUUCCUUGCUUGAUUCUGGAUAUUGUUAAGUUGAAAUAAAAUUGUAUGAGAAAAUGAUCACUAAACUAAGGAGUCUUAACCUGAUAAUAACUUCUUUUACGUUAAUAGACUACAAUGUUGUCUCAGAGCUUAUUGUCCAAAAUAACACCUCUACUUUUAGUGUCCUUCAGGAAUGCAUAUCCUCCAGGACAACUCAAGUGGGUAUAUAGCUCGCCGCAAAUCGCUCGUCCCUCCUUCUUUCCUGAACAUGAAUGUGAGGUGUUGCGCAUGCAAGAUCAUGGCCAUGGAGCAUGUGUGUCCGCCGCCAACAUGCAGAUUUCCUACCGUCGGGUAUCUUGGUCUUGAUAUAACUCUGCAGUUUACUUGAAAAUGCAGUUCCUUCCAAAAGUAUAUGCAAAGUGCGUGCGUGCGUGCAUGCGUGCGUGCGUGUAUCUAGCGAGCAAAUCUGUAGUAAUUAAUGAGUAUACUAUCUGCUUUCUUGAAGUGGCUAUUUUCUGUUUAGUUCUCUUUUGACAUAUAGUUUGUUCUCUUUGAAUGUGCAGAUUGUACGCUGUGCUGAUUAUCUUUUUUCGUUGUUGGGGUCAUUUGAACCUGCAGGUCAUGUGUUAUGUGAUCUGAGCCAUAUGGCAUAUUGUAAUCUUUUUAUUGCUGGUUUUUAUGUACGAUGUCACGAAGAUGUACGUUUGAAAUGUUGCUUUGACAGCAAAAUUGUAUUCCUGUGUACAUGCUACUUUGACAGCAAAAUUAUAAAAAUUUCUCAACAGUAUAUAUGGGUUAAAUAUCUGUUUUUCAAUUUUCUAUGCUUAAAGUUGUACUGCGCCUGAAAAGGCU